UUGACCUCGGAUCAGGUAGGGAUACCCGCUGAACUUAAGCAUAUCAAUAAGCGGAGGAAAAGAAACCAACCGGGAUUGCCCUAGUAACGGCGAGUGAAGCGGCAAGAGCUCAAAUUUGAAAGCUGGCCCCCUCGGGGUCCGCAUUGUAAUUUGCAGAGGAUGCUUCGGGAGCGGUCCCCAUCUAAGUGCCCUGGAACGGGCCGUCAUAGAGGGUGAGAAUCCCGUAUGGGAUGGGGUGCCCGCGCCCGUGUGAAGCUCCUUCGACGAGUCGAGUUGUUUGGGAAUGCAGCUCUAAUUGGGUGGUAAAUUUCAUCUAAAGCUAAAUAUUGGCCGGAGACCGAUAGCGCACAAGUAGAGUGAUCGAAAGAUGAAAAGCACUUUGAAAAGAGAGUUAAACAGCACGUGAAAUUGUUGAAAGGGAAGCGCUUGCGAUCAGACUCGCUCGCGGGGUUCAGCCGGCCUUCGGGCCGGUGUACUUCCCCGCGGGCGGGCCAGCGUCGGUUUGGGCGGCCGGUCAAAGGCCCCUGGAAUGUAACGCCUCUCGGGGCGUCUUAUAGCCAGGGGUGCCAUGCGGCCUGCCCGGACCGAGGAACGCGCUUCGGCUCGGACGCUGGCAUAAUGGUCGUAAGCGACC
This 634-nucleotide ribosomal RNA is filed under the name Penicillium waksmanii. RNAcentral describes it as "eukaryotic LSU rRNA". It matches the Rfam family "Eukaryotic large subunit ribosomal RNA", at positions 1 to 649 of the family's 3401-position model. The record is from RNAcentral. RNAcentral also lists the same sequence under 1 other name. Lineage: Eukaryota; Fungi; Ascomycota; Eurotiomycetes; Eurotiales; Aspergillaceae.